UGGUAUUUUAUGAUUUUAAUGGUUCUUAAUAACAUUUUUGUUCAUUUACCUCGAUUAUGUGUGUAUCUAGGUGUUUAUUACAUUUUCCUACAUAUUUACGUAUUGUGGGGGCUGGUUUGUACAAUCUAAAAGUUUGGGCUGAAAUUGAGGAGAAAUCUACACAUUUAAAGAUUUUGUGCCAAAUUAAGAAGAAUACAAAAGUACAAGGACCUAAGUUGCAAAAACGAAAUUUGGACAGAACUCCUCGGCUUCAGAGAUGUGGAUGAGACGGAACGACGGCAGAAGCAAAAAUGAAACGGAGGACGACGCCGAGUAGAGCUUUGAGACGAGGCUUGGCUGCAGAGAUGUGCUGGUCUGUCGAAGUUCUCGUCGGGCUUCAGAGAUGUGCGGUUCCGUUGGAGAUCUCGUCGGACUUGUUCUGGGCGUCAAGCUAUUGUCGGAGUACAACGGAGAUGAAUUGCAGAGAACGACGUCGAGGAGGAAGAUGUUCUGAUGAUUUCGCGGCGACGAAGGAAAAGACAAACCGCUACGGCUUCUGCUCGAGCUUGGCUGAAGUUCAUCGAUGGUGACGGAGGAGGGCCAAAAAGUACGGCGAAGAAGAACUGCAGCAUAGAUGAUAUGAUGCAUCCACCAUGGAUUGAGAUACCGAAAAAGUGAAAUGUGAAGAAGAAGUUUUUAAUUUUAAUUUUUUGUUUGUUCGUUUCAAAUAAAAAUAAUAAUCAACUUAAUAAGAUGGUAGGACCAUUUUAGUUAGAUGAAUGACUUUAAUUGUAAUGGUUUGGUUUUUAGUUACAAAAAACUACCCCACUAGCAGAAACUGUCUUAGAAUGUAAAUAAAACUUGAAAACUGACCUGCAAUGUAAAAAACUCUUAACUUAACUCCACAACCAGGUACAUACCCAUCAAAGACAUCUUUACAGCCUUUCUUUUCCCUCAGAGUUUGGGGGUGUGUUGU
Molecule: long non-coding RNA, 955 nt
Filed under: Brassica rapa (field mustard)
Lineage: Eukaryota; Viridiplantae; Streptophyta; Magnoliopsida; Brassicales; Brassicaceae
Description: long non-coding RNA (BRAP_LNC005558)
Source: RNAcentral